GGGGGCAUAGCUCAGCUGGGAGAGCAACAGACUGAAGUUCUUUAUGUUUUCCUGUGUUUCUGGAGGUCCCCAGUUCGAUCCUGGGUGCUCCCA
This is a non-coding RNA of Guyanagaster necrorhizus, 93 nucleotides long. The record is from the annotation of a RefSeq genome assembly. Lineage: Eukaryota; Fungi; Basidiomycota; Agaricomycetes; Agaricales; Physalacriaceae.